This 77-nucleotide transfer RNA is filed under the name Clostridiales bacterium. RNAcentral describes it as "tRNA-Met". It matches the Rfam family "tRNA". Rfam says of the family: Transfer RNA (tRNA) molecules are approximately 80 nucleotides in length. RNAcentral also lists the same sequence under 1 other name. Lineage: Bacteria; Bacillati; Bacillota; Clostridia; Eubacteriales. The record is from RNAcentral.
GGCGGAGUAGCUCAGUUGGCUAGAGCAAUCGGUUCAUACCCGAUAGGUCAAGGGUUCAAGUCCAUUCUCCGCUACCA